CAGCCGCCGCGGGAAUACGAAGGGGGCUAGCGUUGCUCGGAAUUACUGGGCGUAAAGGGAGCGUAGGCGGAUAGUUCAGUCAGAGGUGAAAGCCCAGGGCUCAACCUUGGAAUUGCCUUUGAUACUGGCUGUCUUGAGUAUGGGAGAGGUUAGCGGAACUCCGAGUGUAGGGGUGAAAUUCGUAGAUAUUGGGAAGAACACCGGUGGCGAAGGCGGCGACCUGGUCCUUGACUGACGCUGAGGCGCGAAAGCGUGGGGAGCAAACAGGAUUAGAUACCCCGGUAGUCCCUGUCUCUUAUAU
Molecule: ribosomal RNA, 301 nt
Filed under: uncultured bacterium
Lineage: Bacteria
Description: partial 16S ribosomal RNA
Rfam family: Bacterial small subunit ribosomal RNA
Source: RNAcentral